Long non-coding RNA from Planococcus citri (citrus mealybug), 1622 nucleotides. RefSeq lists it as uncharacterized. The transcript has 5 exons. NCBI's taxonomy places the organism in Eukaryota, Metazoa, Arthropoda, Insecta, Hemiptera, Pseudococcidae. The record is from RefSeq and is a predicted model, not a curated record.
UCCACUUGCAUAGUUAUUUUAAUCAGUAUGUUUCUGGUUAUGUGAGCAGACCUGCUGUAAAACGUUAUUCAACAACAUGCUUGAAAAAGUGAUAGUUACUGUAGAAGAAGGAAAAGUACAGGGCUUCAAAACAAAAACCGCUUAUUCCGGAGCAGAAUUUUAUUCCUUUCUCGGAAUACCUUAUGGACAAUCAACUGGAGGGGUAGCUCGUUUCAAAGAUCCAGUAAGAGUAAAACCAUGGAACAAUAUUUUGGACGCAACUGUUGAAAAAGGAGGCUGCCUACAAUAUUCAUUAAGGCAGAAAAAAAUCACUGGUUCAGAGGACUGCCUAUAUAACAACAUCUACACACCGAAGCUCCCAUCAAAAGUAACUCCUUUGAAAGCAGUCAUUGUGAAUUUUCACCCUGGAGGAUGGUUUAAUGGUUCCCCAGAUCCAUCAUAUUAUGGAAGUCCAGACUUCAUUAUGCACAAUGAUGUGGUUUAUGUAUGCGUUGGACACAGAUUGCAUAUUUUAGGUUAUUAGGUCAUUUGAAUUUGCAUGUAAAAGCAUGUUCCGGAAAUCAAAGUUUAAAAGAUAGUAUACUAAGCCUACAAUGGAUCAAGAAAAAUAUUGCAGCUUUUGGAGGUGACCCAGAUAAUGUUACAAUAAUGGGAAGUAGCAGUGGUUCUUCAUUAGUGCAUUUAUUGCUAUUAUCGUCUUUGGCCCAUGGUCUGUACCACAAAGCAAUUCUUAUGGGGUGUUACGUAUUUUGCCCAUUAUUGAAUUCUCCAAUGGACCAUGUAGCAACAGCUUAUGACAUUGCCAAGAUGAUUAAUUAUGAUGGACGACAGGACAACCAUCAAAGAUUGCUUAGUUUUUAUCGAAAAAUUGAUUUUGUUAGUUUAUUUGCCGCAAGACCCGAGCAUUUUUUCAACAGAGUAUAAACAUUUUGGUACCUAUAUGAUGCAUCCUCUAUUCCUAAAACUACUUGGAUACUUUGAAGCAAUUUUCAUUUUUCAGAAUACAUUGCAAGUUUAUCCUGCAUCGCCUAUUCUGUUUACUCCAGAACCUGGAGAAAAUUCGCCUUUACAUGUGCUGUACCAAAAACUUAUCCCGUCGAUGAAUAGAGUGUAGUGCGAGAAAAAGUAAACUUUUGUUUCCUCUAGGGGGAAGAAAAGUGACUUCUUUUAGAAUUUAGGGCAGUGCACCUACCUAACAGACCGCGUACCUAUCCGCUACGGCAUGUAUAGGGACGUUGUUAGGUAGGGAUUCGUUAGCUGUGAUUGUGGCUGGCGACGCGGUGGCUCUACGUGUCGGAAUUCAGUCUAUGUACUUCGCUUACGAGUGCAAGUACAUAGCUCAUAGGGUUACCUAUCCGCUAGCUACGGAAUAGGGAAUCCGACCUUGUACCUACACCUUUUGGGUAGGUAUGGAGUGAGGGUGCUCCUGUCUCUCGGAUGCUUUCGUGCCCGGUACCGAGGGGUAUAGGACUGGUAGGGUAGCGCUGGGAUAAUCCCAUUCAUUGUUAACUAUUUUUGUUUGCUUUUUGUUCCUUAUUUUUUGCCUUUUUGUUCCUUUGUUUUAACCCAUAUAUUGUCUUGUUUUAUUCCUGAAAUAUAUGGGAUUUACCAGUGCUUAAAAA